AUGAUGAGCUGGGCCCCUGCCCCGGCGCUGCUUCAUCUGAGCGUGAGUCCUGCUUCCCGAAGCGCCGGGAGGACUUGCACCAGGUCAUCCUCAAGGUCAUCAUUACAAGAGGCGAAGACGGUCACACAAUUCAGUAAGAAAUAUCUGACCAAGAUGCAUCAUCUGAUGCUGGGGCUGGAGAUGAGAAAAGAUACAGCACAAAUUUUUACCCUGCAAACUCAUGAGAAAUUAUUCUGGAAAAGUCAAGGCUUCGUGGCAAAAGAUCUCCUUUUUCAACCUGCUUUGUAAAAGACACCUGGAGGAUUUACAACUUGACUUUCUAUGAGGGCAGAAGGCGUAACAUGGUGAGUGACUUCCAGUUAUCAGCUGCCUCAAAUGAACAUCUUUCAUUCCAUCCCUGAUGAU
Molecule: long non-coding RNA, 405 nt
Filed under: Canis lupus familiaris (dog)
Lineage: Eukaryota; Metazoa; Chordata; Mammalia; Carnivora; Canidae
Description: lncRNA (ENSCAFG00040005223.1)
Source: RNAcentral